GAGGGAGCAACCCUAAUUCAUUUGCGAGAAACGUAGAAAAAAAAAACAAACCUCUCUCUCCCAUCUUCGACGGCGCUGCAGCCUCCACUGUCGAUCCAGAUUCUUGCGCAUGAACGGCUUCUUAAAGACGGUGAUUACUCUCAUCUAAUCAUACCCCUCAACGCGACGUCUUCAAUGCUGUUCGUGGAUCCUAAGUUCCGAGUUGUAGUAUAUAUAGGUGUGAAGUUUCUUCUCUUCACCUCAUCCUCCCUUACAAAGUAUUACAUUAAUCCUCUAUUAUUUCGAGAUGGCUAACACCAGAGUCUUCUUCUCCGACCUGAAGUCCGGCCGGUGCAGCUCCUUCGUGGAGGCCAGACUGCUCCGGUUCUGGGAGGCGAGGAACAUUAAGCGUGGUGGUGAAUUGAUGUGGGUCGAUAUGCUUUUCGUCGAUGUUAAUGCUGCACCUGUUGUACCUCCACUGUCGAGGUUCGCCGUUCUGGGAAGCAAAGAAAUAUGAAGCGUGGUGUCAAGCUUAUGGGUGUAGACAAGGAGAUGGGCAUUAAAUUGCUAUCAAGUUCUGUUAUCAAGCACUACUCCACAGCCAUGGAGAUUGACGAUGAAUAAAUAUCUUAGAUCCUAUUGUCCAGAUCAAAUCCUCAUGAUGUUCAUCUGGAGAUGGGAAAGGUAGUAUUACUUCCACUGUCAAGCUGAUUGAAUAGUGAUAUGUUUCUUCCCAACAAAGUGAUUGACUUGAUUGAUGAAGAUGGGUCUCUGGCUCAACUAUGUCAUGCUCAGAUACUAAGGCAAAUAAAGUGAAGAAAGCUGAGACUGAAGAUGGUCAAUCUCUUACUGCCACUGAAUCCAAGAUCUAACAUUAUCUCCACCCCGACAUGAGUCCUGGUUGAGAAAGUCUGAUGAAUCUAGCUAUCUUUCCAAGAUGGGCAGACAGUUCACAAAGGAGUUGUUAUCCGGACGAUUCGAUGUGUUGGGCUCAAGAACUAAAACCUCCCAAUUCAAUGUUAUGAAUUUUCUUUAAAGUAUUCUAUGUACUAAUCCUUUGUUUAGUAUUUUAUUUCAUACUACUUGAUUCUACAUAUAAAAAUCACACUAGGUUGUUUUCGCUGAGAAAAUAUUUGCAAAAUAUGUAUUUAAAAAAUGUAGAUAUGACUUAUAAGUUCUCAUAUUUUUUUUUCCUU
Raphanus sativus (radish) is the source of this 1175-nucleotide long non-coding RNA. RefSeq lists it as uncharacterized. The transcript is spliced from 4 exons. The record is from RefSeq and is a predicted model, not a curated record. NCBI's taxonomy places the organism in Eukaryota, Viridiplantae, Streptophyta, Magnoliopsida, Brassicales, Brassicaceae.